UCGCUGUGAUGAUGCUUUUCCUGCCAUUCGUAGUUUCCACCAGAGGUCCCCCAGACCAAAGAUGGUUCAAACCUUCCUUGGAUGUCUGAGCGA
RNAcentral lists this small nucleolar RNA (93 nucleotides) under Acanthochromis polyacanthus (spiny chromis). RNAcentral's name for it is "Small nucleolar RNA SNORD14 (ENSAPOG00000002280.1)". It matches the Rfam family "Small nucleolar RNA SNORD14". Rfam says of the family: U14 small nucleolar RNA (U14 snoRNA) is required for early cleavages of eukaryotic precursor rRNAs. Lineage: Eukaryota; Metazoa; Chordata; Actinopteri; Pomacentridae. The record is from Rfam by way of RNAcentral.